This 301-nucleotide ribosomal RNA is filed under the name uncultured bacterium. RNAcentral describes it as "partial 16S ribosomal RNA". It matches the Rfam family "Bacterial small subunit ribosomal RNA", at positions 509 to 807 of the family's 1533-position model. The record is from RNAcentral.
CAGCCGCCGCGGUAAUACGGAGGGCGCGAGCGUUGCCCGGACUUACUGGGCGUAAAGGGCGUGUAGGCGGCCUGGGGCGUCCCAUGUGAAAGGCCACGGCUCAACCGUGGAGGAGCGUGGGAUACGCUCAGGCUAGAGGGUGGGAGAGGGUGGUGGAAUUCCCGGAGUAGCGGUGAAAUGCGCAGAUACCGGGAGGAACGCCGAUGGCGAAGGCAGCCACCUGGUCCACUUCUGACGCUGAGGCGCGAAAGCGUGGGGAGCAAACCGGAUUAGAUACCCCCGUAGUCCCUGUCUCUUAUAC